RNAcentral lists this unclassified non-coding RNA (1549 nucleotides) under Leishmania donovani. RNAcentral describes it as "gene:LdHU3.19.0750(CDS-product:U3_snoRNA-associat ed_protein_UTP11_putative)". The record is from RNAcentral. Lineage: Eukaryota; Euglenozoa; Kinetoplastea; Trypanosomatida; Trypanosomatidae.
AAAGCAAGUACACAUACGUUAGUCCGCCAUGACGAAGGGGAAAGGCCGCAACCCAGGCGCCAGCGGGCUCGACAAGCACCUCAAGCGCAAGACCCACCUAGAACGGUCGCAGCCGAAGUCGCGCCAGCAUCUCGGCCAGCUCGAGAAGCACAAGGAUCAUGUUCUCCGUGCAAAGAAGCGCAAGGUCAAGGUGCGCCGCCUGCAGGAAAUCAAGCGCGCCGCAGCGCAGCGCAACCCAGAUGAGUUCAACAUUGGCAUGACGAAGUCGGUGAUGGAUGUGGCGAAUGGCCGCAUGAGGAAGCGCCGGGUUCGACUGGUGGACUCUGACCGGAAGAAGGACAUGCAAAAGACGAUUGAGCACAACCGGCGCAACGUGCAGUAUCUCGAGUUCAAGGCCAAGGCCGACCAGCAGCGGGCGACCGAGCUGCUGAACGAGGAGGCGGCAGCAGCGCUGACUUCGACUGCCCCGCAGAACAAGCACAUCGUCUUUGUAAACUCCGAGGAGGAGUUCCGCAGCUUCAACCCGCUCAAGCACUUCGACGCGACGCCGGAGAUGAUGCGGCAGCACCCGGCGGUGCGCGGUCGCAUCCGCGUCCUGGAGAAGACGGUGAUGCCGGAGGAGAUUCUCAUGAGUGGCGGGCACCAGAUGAAAUCCGCUGCGCAGAAACGCAAGGAGCGGCGCGAGGUGCAGGAGAAGAUGCGCCGCAGCGGUGCCGACGCCACCCCCGAGACACGAGCCGCUUUUGUGGAGCGCCUGCGCGCCAAGAAAGAGCUGAAGCAGUACCAGUUUACCGAUCUACUGGAAGAGGUGAAGCGCGAGAACGAGGCGACCGCCUCCUCAUCCAAGGGCACCCCAGGCGAUGACGACGAGCAUGAGGAGGCGGCAGCGCAGGACGAGGUCACGCGGCUGCUUGAGUGGCGCCGUGAACAGGAGCGUCAGGCGGCGAUAGCGACGGCGCGGCACGUGCGCGAGGUCGGGCAGCGCAUACAGCGAAGCAAGAGUCUCUCUGCCUUGGCAAAGAGGAUCCGCAAGCAGUCGCAAGGCAUCAAGCGGCAAAUGGAGCAGAGGCGGGAGAGCCGCUUCAAGCCCGGCACGACGCGGCGCGCACGGUAAGAAAAAGCCGCGUCUAUGUAUGUGAACAGCGGCAUGCAGGCGAGGAGGGCGGGCUUCUGGGGACGCAUUCGCGACCGCCCGGCAUCUCCUCCCUUACUCGGAAGGCGUACGAGUAACUGGCGGCGGGGUGCUUAUUAUAUGUGUAUCUAUAGGCACUCUCUGGCCCUGCAUGCGCGUAUUCUCGCGCACCAUCGAGUAAUAUAAGCGAUACAUGUGACCGAAUCGGCGCCCUUGAAGGAGAUGCGCCGGAGAAGAGAGAAGGAAAACAUAAUAGAAAAUAAACGAAGCGACUGAAGUUCUGUAGCACGGACGGAAUCCAAAGGAAGCACGACGUGCCGGAGGAAAGGGCAAUCCGCUCUGCCGUGCUGUCCCUCAUGGCUGCACGCCUCUCUUGCCACCCACUUUGCCGUGCACCCUUGAUGAGAGAGAAGCAAG